GCAGACAGUGGCUAAAGGAAAAAGGCACGCAAAGAGCAACCUUUUCCCCUUGCCAGAAAGAGUGGAGAUUACCAUUCAGGCUGACCACAGAGGUUACGUCAGACGAAGCAAGCAGCUCAUUCAUUCUGCGAAGAUAGCAUCAGAGUUGCAGACACAGGGUAUAACAUCUAUAUUAAUGCAGGAAGCAUUCCUGAAACAGAGGACAAGUGAGGUAUUCUUUCAUGGGAAGGAAGGACACUUACUCUGCGGACGGCCACCAUGUUGUUGCAUACCAGCACUCCUCCC
Long non-coding RNA from Oreochromis aureus, 285 nucleotides. RefSeq lists it as uncharacterized. The transcript has 3 exons. NCBI's taxonomy places the organism in Eukaryota, Metazoa, Chordata, Actinopteri, Cichliformes, Cichlidae. The record is from RefSeq and is a predicted model, not a curated record.